CAGCAUGGGAGGUACUGGAAGCCUGAAUGGAUGAGGCAGAAAGAUUCUCGAAGUCCCGUGUGCAAGGAAACAACGCAGAAUGAAAUAAGAAGAGGGGAGAAGAGCUAUACAAGGUGCACCUCCUCCGUGAAGCCUUCCUGGCUCUCCUUUUGAAUGGAAGUGACUCCUCGGGAUUUACAGCUCUCCGUUCUGGACCAUGUCCUCCAAUUCUCGGGCCUUUUCUUUCUUGACUAGGAAUAAAGAAAAUCUUACACGAUAUCCAGUUAUUUCCGACUCCUACUUUGACACAAAUCUGGAAAGAGUCAUUUGUUCUUCCUAAAUGCUCUUCGGAGAAAA
This 336-nucleotide long non-coding RNA is filed under the name Mustela putorius furo (domestic ferret). Its description in RNAcentral is "lncRNA (ENSMPUG00000024539.1)". The record is from RNAcentral. Lineage: Eukaryota; Metazoa; Chordata; Mammalia; Carnivora; Mustelidae.